RNAcentral lists this long non-coding RNA (226 nucleotides) under Mytilus galloprovincialis (Mediterranean mussel). The record is from RNAcentral. Lineage: Eukaryota; Metazoa; Mollusca; Bivalvia; Mytilida; Mytilidae.
CCAGAUACAUCAAUUGAAUGGAUACCAACUGUCAUAUUCCUGACUUAAAACAGCCAUUUUCGUAUGAAGAAAAGGUGGAUUAUACCUGGUUUAUAGCUAGCUACACCUCUCACUUGUAUGACAGUAGCACAUAAUUCCCUUACAUUAACAACGUAGUAUGAAAAAAACUAACAUAUAUAAUGAUUAAAAUGUCUAAAAUAGGGGCACAGCAGCCAACAUUGUCUUU